AUACGGAGGAUCCGAGCGUUAUCCGGAUUUAUUGGGUUUAAAGGGUGCGCAGGCGGCCAUUUAAGUCAGCGGUUAAAUCGUGGGGCUCAACCCCAUUCUGCCGUUGAUACUGGGUGGCUUGAUUGCGGUCGAGGUUGGCGGAAUUCGUUGUGUAGCGGUGAAAUGCAUAGAUAUGACGAAGAACACCGAUUGCGUAGGCAGCUGGCCAGACCGCAAAUGGCGCUCAUGCUCGAAAGUGCGGGGAUCGAACAGGAUUAGAUACCCUGGUAGUCCGCACAGUAAACGAUGAAUGCGUGGUUUCGGCGAUAUAAUGUCGGAGGCAAAGCGAAAGCGAUAAGUGUUCCACCUGGGGAGUGCGCGGGCAACGGUGAAACUCAAAUGAAUUGACGGGG
This 392-nucleotide ribosomal RNA is filed under the name uncultured bacterium. RNAcentral's name for it is "partial 16S ribosomal RNA". It matches the Rfam family "Bacterial small subunit ribosomal RNA", at positions 523 to 918 of the family's 1533-position model. The record is from RNAcentral.